This 71-nucleotide transfer RNA is filed under the name Marmota monax (woodchuck). RNAcentral describes it as "tRNA.Ala". It matches the Rfam family "tRNA". From Rfam's summary of the family: Transfer RNA (tRNA) molecules are approximately 80 nucleotides in length. Their secondary structure includes four short double-helical elements and three loops (D, anti-codon, and T loops). Lineage: Eukaryota; Metazoa; Chordata; Mammalia; Rodentia; Sciuridae. The record is from RNAcentral.
GGGGUUGUGGCUCAGUGGUAGAGUGCUUGCCUAGCACACAUGAGGCCCUGGGUUCAAUCCUCAGCACCACA